This 253-nucleotide ribosomal RNA is filed under the name uncultured bacterium. Its description in RNAcentral is "partial 16S ribosomal RNA". It matches the Rfam family "Bacterial small subunit ribosomal RNA", at positions 524 to 776 of the family's 1533-position model. The record is from RNAcentral.
UACGUAGGCAGCGAGCGUUGUUCGGAGUUACUGGGCGUAAAGAGUGCGUAGGCGGUUUUCUAAGUUUGGUGUGAAAUCUCCCGGCUUAACUGGGAGGGUGCGCCGAAGACUGGAAGGCUUGAGUAUUGGAGAGGUAAGCGGAAUUCCUGGUGUAGCGGUGAAAUGCGUAGAUAUCAGGAGGAACACCUGCGGUGUAGACGGCUUACUGGACCAUCACUGACGCUGAGGCACGAAAGCGUGGGUAGCAAACAGG